This 339-nucleotide RNase P RNA is filed under the name Thermoprotei archaeon. RNAcentral describes it as "RNase P RNA component". It matches the Rfam family "Archaeal RNase P". Rfam says of the family: Ribonuclease P (RNase P) is a ubiquitous endoribonuclease, found in archaea, bacteria and eukarya as well as chloroplasts and mitochondria. The record is from RNAcentral. Lineage: Archaea; Thermoproteati; Thermoproteota; Thermoprotei.
GGGCCCCGGCUAGCCGCCUACGGGACCCCGGAUUCCGGGGUCCUGAGGAAACUCCGCACUCCCCGCGGCCGCCACGGCCCCGAAAUGGGGCACGGGUAGCCCCCGUGGCUCCGGCACAGAAACGGCACGGCCACCACCGGAUGUCUAUGAGGCGGUGAGGGCCCCCCGGCAACGGGGGGCCAGUAACCCGCCGAGUAUGGUGGUGGAUGCGUUGAAACGGCCGUCCCGUGGGGAGUAAGGCCGCUGUCUCCGGGGAUGAGGUGGCCGCGUGACCUGGAGGUUAAAGGCCGCUUAGUCGAAUGUGGCUGUAGUACUGAAUGCGGGUUAUAGCCGGGGCCC